RNAcentral lists this long non-coding RNA (240 nucleotides) under Linum usitatissimum (flax). RNAcentral's name for it is "long non-coding RNA (LUSI_LNC003181)". Lineage: Eukaryota; Viridiplantae; Streptophyta; Magnoliopsida; Malpighiales; Linaceae. The record is from RNAcentral.
GCAGAGGUGCUGUCAUUUUACUAAACUACGCCUUAGUUUUCGAAAUUAAACGACGCCCUACAUUCAUAAUGACCUAAACGUUCAUUCUGUAAAAAUGAAAAACAUAAAAAACUUACUAGUUCAAUCCAAAAAAUCCUUAUUUCGUAUGUUUUACUAUGUUUUAUUUGGUCGAAAACACUCUCGACGAACCACGGAUCAAAAUUGGAAAGGUACGAAAUUGAAUUUUGGAUCUGAAAAAAA